This 492-nucleotide ribosomal RNA is filed under the name uncultured bacterium. RNAcentral describes it as "partial 16S ribosomal RNA". It matches the Rfam family "Bacterial small subunit ribosomal RNA", at positions 29 to 507 of the family's 1533-position model. The record is from RNAcentral.
AGUGAACGCUGGCGGUAGGCCUAACACAUGCAAGUCGAACGGCAGCACAGUAAGAGCUUGCUCUUACGGGUGGCGAGUGGCAGACGGGUGAGGAAUACAUCGGAAUCUACUUUUUCGUGGGGGAUAACGUAGGGAAACUUACGCUAAUACCGCAUACGACCUACGGGUGAAAGCAGGGGAUCUUCGGACCUUGCGCGAUUGAAUGAGCCGAUGUCGGAUUAGCUAGUUGGCGGGGUAAAGGCCCACCAAGGCGACGAUCCGUAGCUGGUCUGAGAGGAUGAUCAGCCACACUGGAACUGAGACACGGUCCAGACUCCUACGGGAGGCAGCAGUGGGGAAUAUUGGACGAUGGGCGCAAGCCUGAUCCAGCCAUACCGCGUGGGUGAAGAAGGCCUUCGGGUUGUAAAGCCCUUUUGUUGGGAAAGAAAAGCAGCAGGUUAAUACCCCGCUGUUCUGACGGUACCCAAAGAAUAAGCACCGGCUAACUUCGUG